Molecule: non-coding RNA, 46 nt
Filed under: Schistosoma mansoni
Lineage: Eukaryota; Metazoa; Platyhelminthes; Trematoda; Strigeidida; Schistosomatidae
Source: RNAcentral
GCACUGCUGAGGAGUCCCACAAUAGGACGAAACCGCUAUCCAGUGC